UUAGAUGCCACUCGAUCUAAUUCACAUACUAAUUGUCCAAUCAAGCAUUCUACUCAUUCUAGAGUUAUCAAUUCUCAUUUUUCAAUGUUAUCUCUCUAAUCAAGCUAGAGUUAUCAACCAAGUUCAUAUGCAUAUAUAAUCUCACUUUAACUUAAUGUCAUCAACAUGCAUUUCAUUCUAUGCAUUAUGCUUACAUGCAUUCACAUAAUUAUCUACCAUUAUUCAACUUGCUCAUAAUGCAUUCUAUUUAGCAUUUACAUCAUACUAUCAAUAUGCAUUAUUUAGCUACAUGCAUCAUUUACGUGCUUCAUUUACAUUUAUAUGCAUCAACAUGGAUUCUUAGUUUCUUAGACAUAAAGGGCGACCUAGUCGCUUCGGUAAGCACAACCCACCUUAAUUUGCGUUCCGAUUGCUUGUUGACACUUGCAAUCGGCCUCCCGCGGCACCCUUAUCCGGCACGGCCCGAUACUGCAACUGCGCCUCAACCGUGCUCCGCUUCGCAGCCCCGAAAAUUAUAGGUCUUCGGUUAUAUGCCACGAUGCCUCAAAUCCAUUUCCAUGAUUUUACGACGUCGCCUCGGCCCUCCAGGCGGAAACGAAACCUAAACGUCUGUUUCUUUAAUAACUUCGCGUAGGCUCGACGAAUCGCCGAACCGACUUCGCCAACGCGUUCGUUUACCUAGCAAUUAGGUUUAUACAUGAUCAAUUUAGAUCAAAACCCCUCACAAGUAAAAACCCCUCUUUUGAUGCCCUAAGAUGCAACUAUGCAAGAAUUCAUCAUUUUAUCUCAAAAUUCGAGCAUCAACCAUCUAUUUAGCAUCUAGGAGUUUCACUAAACCCAUUUCUAAGGCAUACAAAUCGUUACUUAGCAAUCUACCAUUAUUACUAACAAAGCUUACCUCUCAAACCCAUGCUCUCUUCAAGCCAAUGGUGAAGAAAAGGAAAGCUUUACCUUUAAGUAAGCUUUUCUCUACCAACUCCACACUUUGGAGCCAAUCCUAAAGAGAGAGAGAGAGAGGUUUCUCUUAUGUUGGCUCAAAUGGAGAGGAAUGAGGGAAAUGACAUAACACCCUUAUAUAUAUAUAGGAGGAAACUUCACCUCCAAGUAAACUCCCCCAAAACACUAUUCACUCCAGGCAGUUCGAAAUCUGAUAUCUUUCGCCGGAACUCCCUGAACAUCCGUUUGAGCUCAAAUUUGACAGUCAUGUUCGGUCUCACUUAACGAGUCCAAAGAAAUUUUAAUAUUUCAGUUUCGACCCCGUUUGGUCACCGAAAGCUGUACCGAACUAUAAUCUUUAUCAGAUAGCUUUCGGAUUCUAGUUUUCACCUUCCGGGUGUCAGAAUGGCAUGGAACUUUAAAUCUAGCAUCAUAAAAAUAUUUAUGACAUCUUCGCUAAUUUUCAUAAUUUUCUGACACUGUGCAUUUUCUGCUAAUUUAUCUGCCCUGUUUCUUACAGAAAAUUCUAAAUCUUCUGUUGUCGCUCCGAUUUCAGCACAGGUCAUUCCCAACUUAUAUUUCACUUCUCUAAAUCCAAUAAAAAUAGUAUCUCAUACUAUUUUUAUUUAUUUUCACUUUUAUAUUUAAAAUCCGGUAUGUUACAUUCCGCCGCAACCUCACCGGAGCCAUUUAAAUGUACACGGUAACUUCAUAGUUUUAGAAGUCCGGUACCUUACACUAUGAGAAUGUAAUAACCCUAUAUGUGCAUGUAAAAAGAGAUAUUAGUUUAGUGAAGUUAAAGAACAAGUGACAUAUGACACGAGGAAAAUGAAAUGUGAGAAUGCAAGCUAAAGAUCGCAUAAAGAUUGAUGUAAAGAACACUAGAGCUAGUGUGUGGCAUCAAAGAGAACAAAUGUGAUAUAAAGAAUGAUAAAACUAGAGUUAGCAAUGUGUGGCAUUAAAGAAUGACAAUUACUAGAGUUAGCAACAAAAUGUGGCAUAAAGAACAAUGGCUAGAGAUAGCAUUAAAUAUGGGGCAUAAAAGAAUGCUAGAGCUAAUGCAUGACAUAAACGAUAGUAAAGAAUGUAAAGAACACUAGACUUAGUGUAAUGACAUGGUCGAAGAUAAAGAAUGCAAAGAACAUGAGAUUGACACAAUGACAUUCAACCUUAGAGCUAAGGGUCAUUUGUGCAUAAUUCCUUAGAGUUAAGGAACAGAUUGAACUGAACAUCCUUAGAGUUAAGGAUUGAUCAUACUCGCUAUAAGUCCUUGCUCGAGGGCGGUAGCUCCCCCUCGGGCGAUAAGCUUCGGAGUUUGUCAUCACUGGAUUGGUGCUGUUCCCCAGAGAACGGUCCUAGCGGGAGGAAGCUAAGGGCCCGCGAUCAUAGAUUCUGAGUUCGUGAGUUAAUGAGGCGAUACCCCGGGGUUAGCCUUGGGAUUGAACAAAGAAUAAAGAACAAAGAAUAUAGACCAUGCAUUCUUCAUGAGUUAUAUUGAGCAUCAUUUUUUAUCGCAUUGUUCAGGCAUAUUAGUUGCUUAAAUUUAACUAUUUAAAUUUUCAGCAAAUGAAACUGUACAUUCAGUUUCCAAAUAAUAGCUAAUUACCAACAAAGCUACUAAAAUUAGCAAUAAUCCCAUUUUAAAUGAGUAGAAUGAAGUAAUUUGAUAUUGAUAGAUUACUAACUGUUGAUGCCAAAAUUAAAAUUAGGCAGGAACGGUUGAGAAGUGGGAUGUAACUUCCACGAUCAUGGCUACACCACUCCCCCCACUACUAAAAACUGACCAAUAAUGUGGGCUGAGAAGACAUCACUAUAAAUAGUAAUUUUGAAGCCUGCAAUAGAGGUCUUUUCCCCGUGAACAGAAGACCACCUUUAUUUCCUCUACAAUUUCUUCGCAUUUUCUAGGAGUAGUCUACUUGUAAUCUUUUACUUUCUCGCACUUACCGUUUUACCUAGGAGUAGAGUUAAGUUAGAUCAACCGAGUCUGUAUGUCCUCAGGCACACUCGACCUUUGUACUGUUCUUGCAAGCUAAUUCUAAUAUAUCAAGGCAUUCGGCUCAUCAGCCGACCUGAAAUCCUUUGUUUUCUAUACAUUUGGCUCAUCCAGCCAGCCGAACCUAUUCUGUAAUAGAAGAUUCCCAACUCGGCUGAUCCGAUCCUUCAUCAGCCGAAUCACUUGAUCCAGUCGAAGGGCACAAACUUCGAGGGUCACUAAUCGUAGCCGUUUCGCAUCUCGACGCGCUUUUCGAGGAAGAUCUUUGACCGGGCCAAAGAAGAGGGAAUUCGGCACCUAAUAAUUUUGGCAUGCCCAGUGGGACACACUUAGGUUUUCCCAAUCUAGAUUUUGUCCUAUGGCUGACGAUAAUGCUAUGAACCUCCGGAAUAGAGUCAUUCCCAGGCCUUCAAGGAAUAACCAAGCUAGUAGCGCCGAAAAUGCGAAUGAGAAUCAGGCGGUACUACCUAUUGGAGGAGAGAUUAGUGAAUAGUCGGCUCAUCAAGAGUCGAGUCUAACUCAGGUACUCAACCAGAUGACCCGAGUCCUGCAAACUGUAGAUCAAAAUAUCCAUCAAAGUACCGCUCAACUAGACACGGUGCUGGCUGCUAUCACGGCCUACAAUAAAAAUAUUGUUCGAAUCAGACAGUUAUUUACCCAAAACGAGCAACCUUACGGGGGCAACAGGGCCCCUAAAUGUGUUGGUGCAACAAAAUCCCGUCACGUCGGUGGUCUCAUAGGCACAACCGCAAAUAGCACCUUUCCAGGCUUCUUAUAGGCCGGCGAAUAUAAACGCCAGCCCACAGUCGAAGAUUGCAUCGGGUUUACCUCCUUUACCAGCUUACCAGCCCCAAAACGUGGGCGUAAGGGCUGGAGGCCAAGGCUCCAACAGGUUGUAGGAACUAAACUCUGUAAUGCAAAAUUACGGACCGCCUUCAGGGCCGAAUGUGGUUCCGGCCCCGGUUUCUGCUUCGGCAGCAAGAAAUAAUGAGUUAUACGCUCAAAUAGGAGAGGUGAUUCGAAACACAUUUGAUAUAGGGGCGAGGUCGGCAGUGCGGCUUGUAUUUAGAUCCCCAUAUCUCGUGAACAUCGACGCAGAGAAUCUGUAUUCGGCAAACUGAAAAAUGCCGAAGUUCAACAAGUUCUCGAGCGAUGAGACCGAGAAUACGGUUGAGCAUGUAGCCCGGUUCACAGCCCAAUGUAGAGAAGCGAGCGCUGACACAUUUUUGAAACUUUGAUUAUUUAACACGUCGUUAACUAAAACGGCGUUUACUUGAUAUGCAAGUUUACAAGCCAAUUUCGUCCGAGAUUGGGAUGAAUUGGAAAGAAAAUUUUAUGAGCAAUUAUAUAGGUCGGAGCCACAAUUAUCAGUUGCCGACUUGGCUUUAUACCGACAAAAGUCAGGUGAAACGGUCGAAGAGUGUAACGCCCCAAAAUUUGACUAUAAAUAUUUAAAAAGAUUCCAAAAUGAUUUUGAGGGUUAUAGCCAGUUUUAUAUGAUUUGAACUCAAUUGAGUCUAAUCUGUCAUUGCACCAACAACCACUUUGGGAAAACUUUUAACCAUGUUAUCGACAUCCGAUUCAGGCGAAAUUGGUCUCGUUGGAAAGAUCAUCGAGUCAUCUUUCUAACGCAACCUGAACCAUGUCUGCCGCGAACGAACCGGCGCCGCCGUAGGUAUUUUUAAGGCAAGUGGUCAUUCAUGGUAGAGAUCAAAUUUGUUUAAAUUUUAUUUUAAAAUUAGGAUUAUAGGUUCAUGGCUUCCAACAGACUCAAGAAUCUGUUAUUAAUUACCCCACACUUUCAGUGUUAGGGAACCCUCGAUUAAGAGACUGAAUAUAAAUGCUGAUAAUAAAAGAGACCGAACAGACAAAUAAGAUUUUAUUAAUAUGAUUUGUCGUGUACAUGGCUUAAGCAAGGGCAUUCCCCCACUUUACAUAGAUUUCAUAAAAUUAAAUACUCAGUUUAUAGACUUGAUGGUCAUGUCUGAACUUGAUUUGCCCGGUUUAGCGACUUGGCGGUCGAUUGAAGUUGAGAUGCUCAGUUUAGCGGCAUGGCGGUCGAUUUUAAAUUGAGUUGCUCAGUUUAAUGAUAUGGCGGUCGGUUUGAAUUUUGAUGAUCAGUUUAAUGACAUGGCGGUCGGUUGAAGUUGAGAUGCUCAAUUUAGUGACAUGGCGGUUGAUUUGAAUUAUAGUGCUCAGUUUAAUGAUAUGGCGGUCGAAUAUUCAGUUUAAUGACUUAAUAGUCAUUCGUUCAGUUUAACGACUUGACGGUCACAUCUGAACAUGAUUUGCUCGGUUUAGCGACUUGGCGGUCGAUUGAAAUUGAAGUGCUCAGUUUAGCGACAUAGCGGUCGAUUUUAGAUUGAGUUGCUCAGUUUAAUGAUAUGGCGGUUGGCUUGAGUUUUGAUGCUCAGUUUAAUGACAUGGCGGUCGAUUUAAGUUUUGGUGCUCAGUUUAAUGACAUGAUUGUCGAGGGGGUUUGAUUUGAUUGUUCAGUUUAACGACUUGGCGGUCAAAAGUUCAGUUUGAAUGACUUAAUAGUCACUUGUUCAGUUUAACGACUUGACGGUCAUAUAUGAACUUAAUUUGCUCUGUUUAGCGACUUAGCGGUCGAUUUUAAAUUGAAUUGCUCAGUUUAGAGACAUGGCAGUCGAUUGAAGUUGAGGUGCUCAGUUUAGCGACAUGGCGGUCGAUUGUUCAGUUUAACGACUUGAUAGUCAUUUGUUCAGUUUAACGACUUGACGGUCGUUUCUGAACUUGACUUGCUCAGUUUAGUGACUUGGCGGUCGAAAGGGUUUGGUUUGAUUGCUCAGUUUAACGACUUGGCGGUCGAAAGGGUUUGGUUUGAUUGCUCAGUUUAACAACUUGGCGGUCAAAAGUUAAGUUUGAAUGACUUAAUAGUCACUUGUUCAGUUUAACGACUUGACGGUCAUAUCUGAACUUGAUUUGCUCAAUUUAGCAACUUAGCGGUCGAUUUUAAAUUGAAUUGCUCAGUUUAGCGACAUGGCGGUCGAUUGUUCAGUUUAACGACUUGAUGGUCAUUUGUUUAGUUUAACGACUUGACGAUCGUUUUUGAACUUGAUUUGCUCAGUUUAGCGACUUAGCGGUCGAAAGGGUUUGGUUUGAUUGCUCAGUUUACGACUUAGCAGUCAACUUGAGAUGCUCAUGAAACUGAUUCGUGAAAUUAAUUCAUGCUAAGAGCCCGUUUGUAAAGUCCAUUAAAUUAAUUGAUGAAAUUAAUUCAUGAUAGGGGACCAAUUGGAGAGCCCAUUGAAUUGGGUUUUAUAAAAUUAAUUUAUGAUAAGGAGUCAUUUGGAAGGCUUAUUAGUUCAUGAAAUUAAUCUAUGACAAGGAGGGCCUAUGAAAUUAAUUCAUCGAAUUAAUUCGUGAUAGGGGGCCUAUUUGGCAAACCCAUAAAAUUAAUUUGUAGAAUUAAUUCAUGAUAAGGGAUUCAAUUGGAAAGCCCAAGGAAUUAAUUCGUAGAAUUAAUUUAUGAUAAGGGGCCCAUUUGGAAAGUCUGUAAAAUUAAUUCAUGAUAAGGGGGCCUAUUUUGCAAACCCAUGAAAUUAAUUCGUAAAAUUAAUUUAUGAUAAGGGGUCAUUUAGAAAGCCCAGAAAAUUAAUUCAUAGAAUUAAUUCAUAAUAAAUGGCCCAUUUGGAAAGCCCAUAAAUUCGGUUUGGGUUGGAGGUAUUUGGAUGAUAUAGGUUUGGUAGAUUUGGUUGGAUUUUAUUUGUGAACUUUGGAUUUGGAUCUUUAUUUGUGGACUUUCGGUUUUGGAUCUUUAUUUGUAGACUUUGGGUUUUGGAUCUUUAUUGGUGGACUUUGUGGACUUUGGGUUUUGGGUCUUGUUUAUAGGUUUGGGGUUUUGGGUUGAGGAAUUUAUUCAUAUGGUUUUUUUUUUUUUUUUUUUUUUUUUUUUUUUUUUUUGUCUUGGUUUUGGAUCUAAAUCUGCAUAUGGGUUGAGGUUGGUUUCGGGCUGUACAUGUUCUGGGCCUUGGACCCGAAUCUGCAUGUGGACUUGGAUUGGUUUUGGACUUUAUAUAUUCUGGGCCUUGGACCCGAAUCAGCAUAUGGACUGAAAUUGGUCUUGGACUUUACAUGUUCUGGGCCUUGGACCCGAAUCAGCAUGUGGACUAAAAUUGGUCUUGGACUUUACAUGUUCUCGGCCUUGGACCCGAAUCAGUGUGUGGACUAAAAUUGGUCUUGGACUUUACAUGUUCUGGGCCUUGGACCCGAAUCAGCAUGUAGACUAAAAUUGGUCUUGGACUUUACAUGUUCUGGGCCUUGGACCCGAAUUAGUGUGUGGACUGAAAUUGGUCUUAGACUUUACAUGUUCUGGGCCUUGGACUCGAAUCUGCAUGUGGGCUUUAUUAUUUCUUUUUUUUAACUGUUUAUGGAAUUUAUUCAUUGAGCCCACAAGUAAAUGAUGGAUUGAACCAUUUUCAAAUUAAAUAACUCAAAUUCAUUUCAUCAAAUUUUCUUGUUCCAUUUUUUUUGUUCUUCUUCUUUUUUUUUUUUUGACUAAGAGAAGGAACAACUCUUCUUUUUUUUUUCUGUUUUUUUUUUUUUUUUUUUUUUUUUCUUUUUUUUUUCUUUCUCUUUCUUCUUUUUGGUUCUUUUUUUCUUUUUUUCUUUUUUUCUUUUGUUGACUGCCAGAGGGAAUCUCUCUCUCUCUCUCUCUCUCUCUCUCUCUCUCUCUCUAUACGAAACCGAGAGAAGGGGUGCCCUCCUUUUCUUUCUUUUCUUUUUUUUUUUUGCUGUUUUUUUUUUGUGCUUAUUCAUUUUUUUUUGUCCGAAGUACGAAAUUUUGUCUCUCUUUUUUUAAAAAAAUAUACGAAAUUGAUCACAUUGAGAAAUACGAUCAAAUCGAAUGAAGAUGGCGAAUCCAAAGAGAACCCUUCCAUUUUUUUAUUAUCAUUUUUUUUUUGUCGUUCAAGUACGCAGGAUUUAAUCGUGUCGAGCCUAUCAUGAAGUUGGCCACUCGAUUAAUUCUUUCGACCAUGUCGAGCUUAUCGCGAAGAUGGCCACACGGUUUACGUAGCGAAAUAAACGGUGCUCGAUCACCCAUUUUGACCAUGUCGAGCCUAUCGCGAAGAUGGCCGGACGGUUUACAUAGCAAAAUAAACAGUGCUCGAUCACCCAUUUUGACCUUGUCGAGCCUAUCGUGAAGAUGGCUGCACGUUUUACGUAGUAAAAUAUCCGGUUCGAUCAAUCAUUUUGACCAUGUCGAGCCUAUCACGAAAAUGGCCGCACGGUUUAGAGAUUAGCGAUGCAUACGCGUGACGGAAGCAACAAUUUAAUGUCAAAUUUGAUCGGUUCGAUAUCACGAAGAUGGUCGGGUUGAUCAGAUUGACAAAAAAAGCACUUACGCUAUGCGUAUGCAUGCAUAUCUCCUAUUGUUGUAGAAGUCGUCGUAAUUGUUGUUGUCGAAGUUGUAGCCGAGUUCAAGAGCAAAAUUCCUUCUUUUUUUCCUUUUUUUUUUGUUGCCGUGUACGGACAGAGGAGGGGGUGCACAUGGUGCCCCCUCUGCCAGCAAGCCCAAGGCUACACAAGGGGGAGAGAGAGAGAGAUAGAGAGGAGAGUAUAUAAAAAAAAAAUUUCGCCUUUUUCUUUCUUUUUCUUCUUCUUUCUGUUCUUCUUUUUUUUCUUUUUUUUUUCUUUUUCUUCUUUUUCGGUUCUCCCCUUUCUUCCUUCCUCUAAAAAAAAAUUCUCUCUAGAUCCCUUUUUCGAAAUUUGGACCUUAUUUUAUAUAGGAUUCAAAGAUGAUUCCCAUUUGGGAAUAAUUUUAAAAAAAUCAGCUUAUUGAGGAAACAAAUCUCAAUCAACUAAUUAUACCUCUUUUGUUUUAUUUUGAAUACUUUCCUUCUUUUUCUUUUGAAUCUUUCCUUUUCCUAUUUCCUUCCUUCUAUAUUUUCAAUUUGAAUUUUGAACUUUUUUUUCUCAAACAAACCACCUUAAACGGAUAUCGGACGAAAGAGUUAUUGCAAUUUUUCUAAUAGCCGUUGAUACAAUCCUGAGCUGCGAGCUAGUUCGAAAUUUCACCAAUUGUUAUGGGCAGUUUGGUAAAAUUACUAAUUAAAAAUAUAACUUAUCAAUUUAGUUGGUUAACUAUUGGUCCAACCAUAAUUUUUUCCAAGAAAAUAUUGAGUAAAAUUACAUAAACGCCCUUAAGUGGGCUGGUUUGAAUGGGAGAAGAGAAAACUCUUCUAUUCCCAUUCCCUUCUUCUUUUUCCCAUUUCCCCUUUCUCUCAAUACCCUAUUUCCCCUCUCUUCUACUUAGUAAUGAGAUGAAGGAUUUUUCCUUCAAAUUGAAGGGAUUUAGGAGCAGAACCUUUGGAGAAGGAAACCCAUUUUCAAGUUGAAACUCUAGCUAGAGAACAAAGUAAGUAAAUUUUCGGUUUUGUGCUUUGUGAGUAUCAAAGAAUGAAUAUUUUGAGUUGCAUGCAUGUUUUUCUAUUCUCUUUGAAGGUCCCAAGCUAUCCUUUAUGGAUUGGUUAUAGUUUUUGAAGAUUUUAUGACACUAUAUUCAAAUAUUGAUGCCCUAAAUUGGGGGUUUUUGCCCUAUUAUGAAAUUUUCUUGUGAUUUUAGGGUUGGGACCCUAAGAGCCCAAAAUGAGAUUUUUGAUAAUUAACUUUUAGUUCUUUCUACUUGAAUUUAGGGGCCAAUACAUAGUUAUAUGAAUUGCUUUUACUUUUAAGAGGUUUUGAUGAGUUAGUUGCAUGUUAUGAGGUUCCAAAAAUUAGGAUUUUGAUCAACUACAAGAUUAACCUUUUGUAGUUGAUUUUAAGAGUUUAGAAUCCUUAAAUUGAAGUGUCUAUCAUGUUCAAAUAUAUUGGGCAUGAAUGUACGAUUGAGCUAAGUUGUUUAAUCAAAUUUAAAUUUAGUUUGUUAAUAUUUCGAUCAAUUUAUGCUAUUCUCGGGUUGGACUAUUCCGGUUAGUUUUCGGAAGGUAUAAACAUCUUGUUAAGGUGUCGUUUGUUAAAAUUAAGUACCCCAAACCCUUUUAUAGAGUUUGAAUGAGUUAUUUUAAGGUUUUUAUCUAUUUUUAAAGAGUUAUGAGCUCCCAAAAUAGGGACUUUUGUUCUAACCCGAGAAUAGAGUAUAAUAGUCGAAGUGAUGGACUUAAAUAAGUCUAAAUCAUUUAAGAUUACGAAAAAUAAAAGAUUAAUGGAGAUACUCAUUAUUUGUAUGUUAGGUACUUCGGGCGUGCAUGCCGGAGCUCCUACGGCCGAACCUUCCACAUCUUAGAUCAGUCUUUUCUUAUUUUGAGGUGGAAUCCUUAUCUAUAAAUGAUGAACCUUAGUGGUCCUCUUAGUAUCAUACAUGCAUAUAUAUAUAUUGCUAUCGAAUGUUCGUAAUUCUUGUUGCGUGUUUAAUUAUUGUUCUAAGAACUUAUGCCAUCGUUGUUUAUUCUUUGGUUCACAAUGCAAUGGAAGUUGAUCUUAUACUCUAGCAUAUCUCUUAUUAUCAUAUUGUACUAGUAGAGGGUAUGCAUUUGUAUUGGAAGGUAGCAUAAUCUUGAUUAUUUGUUAAUUCCAAAAUAUAACAUGAUUGUUGGGACAUUGACCCUAUUUGGAUUCGCCGCUAUGCUUAUGGUACUCCCCGGGCCAUCUUGGAUGGCUCCUUGUGAUGUGGGAGUUUGAGUGAGAGAAGGCAUGAGUGGGUUAUCGGUGGUGGUCGCUCCCCACGCGGUAAGCCCUUUGCUCCCCGGGUUGAGAUUUGGAUUACGCAUUUACUCGAUUGUAGGUCGAGUUGGAUUUUUGUUGGGUCUUUUCUAGUUGAUUAUGCUUAUCCUAUGAUUUUACCAUUUACUUAUUGAGUAUAGUUGCUAUCGUUGAUCAUAAUGGUAGAUUCAUAUGUAUGUUUAUUAAUCAUUCAUAAUCAUUGUUUAUCUUUCCGUUGAUCACCUACUAUUAGGUUAGUGGGAAUUAUUGUCUCUAGAUGAGCUUCCACUGGGAACUAUUGUUAAUAGUUCUCAUUAUGUGGAUAUUACUAAUUUUUCAGGUAUGACCUUUGAGAUGAGAUCGGGCGAGACGACGACUAUAGUUAGAUAGUAGCAUGUUGAUCGUCUCCAUUUUUGUAUUAUGUAGAUCUUAUUUUUGUAUUUUGGACAAUCAUUUUGGAUAUGUAUUAGGUCAUAUUGGGACUAUGAAUUGUACAAACUUGCUACUUGUUAAGUUCAGGGCAUAACCAUUUAGAAGUUUUAUGUAUGCUUAAAUGGAAUGGUAUUUUGGAUAACCAAUCGUUACGUUGGUAACUUUGGGAUGCUUAAAAUUUGUGAAUUGUUUAUUUAAAUUUAUCAUAUUGUAGGGAUGUUGAUAUUAACGCCGGACAUACUUAAGAUUUCAAUCUUAAGUUAUGUGGUGGGUCUGUAGCUGUUUUACCUCUGUGGUGCUCACCGCUACCGGGGUGCUGCAAAGAGUAUUUGAACCGUUUCAAAAUAGCCAAAAUCCGGUGCUUUAUGAGAAUGCCAAAAUCAGAGUUCGCCAAAAUGGCGUUAAAUUGUUUGCAUUUUAAGAUAAAAAGACUAUUUUGAAGAUAAGUAUUUUUCUAACUUAUUUGAUCUAGGUGUUCAAGUUGCCCAAUAUGAGCAAUUUCGGAAGAAAAGUGAGGACGAUCGGCUGCAAUGGAGCCGAUAUAAAAAUCAAAACAAAGGCAAGGAGAAAUCCUUAAUAGAAGAACAGUCAGUUGAAAAAGAGCCGAGCCAAUCGAGUGAAAGUGAAGAAUCGGCUGAUGAAGCCGAGGUAUAUGCGGCUGGUAAAGAGCCACUUUCUUCAAGGAGAAAUCCUUGAUAGAAGAACAUUCGGUUCAAGAAGAGCCAAACCAAUUGAGUAAAAGUAAAGAAUCGGCUGAUGAAGCCGAGGUAUAUGCGGCUAGGAUGAUAAAGAGCCGUUUCUUUAAGCCGACCAAGACCAGCGAAACUAAAGCUUGGGUCUCGGCUGUGUCAUUGAGCAGUCGAUUUGGCACCAAUAGGCAUCCGAAUGUUCAUUCGAAAGACUAUUUGGGGGGCAUUGUUGAUGCCAAAAUUAAAAUUAGGCAGGAACUGUUGAGAAGUGGGAUGUAACUUCCACGAUCAUGGCUACACCACUCCCCCCACUAUUCAAAACCGACCAAUAAUGUGGGCUGAGAAGACAGCACUAUAAAUAGUAAUUUCGAAGCCUGCAAUAGAGGUCUUUUCCCCGUGAACAAAAGACCACCUUUAUUUCUUCUACAAUUUCUUCGCAUUUUCUAGAAGUAGUCAACUUGUAAUCUUUUACUUUCUCGCACUUACCAUUUUUCCUAGGAGUAGAGUUAAGUUAGAUCAACCGAGUCUGUAUGCCCUCAGGCACACUCGACCCUUGUACUGUUCUUGCAAGCUAAUUCUAAUAUAUCAAGGCAUUCGGCUCAUCAGCCGACCUGAAAUCCUUUGUUUUCUAUACAUUUGGCUCAUCCAGCCGAACCUAUUCUGUAAUAGAAGAUUCUGAACUCGGCUGAUCCGAUCCCUUAUCAGCCGAAUCGCUUGAUCCAGUCGAAGGGCGCAAACUUCGAGGGUCACUAAUCGUAGCCGUUUCGCAUCCCGACGCGCUUCCCGAGGAAGAUCUUUGACCGGGUCAAAGAAGAGGGAAUUCGACACCUAACACUAACUAAGAAAAAUAAAGUUGGAUUUCUUUGUUUUCCCCAUAAUUGGAGGGGUUCUGUUACAAUCUUACAUAAUGCAUUUUGCAAAACUUAGGAACCACGACCUCAUAUAUUAUUUGCAAUUAAUAGUCAAUCUAGGGAGCUCUGUGCUUUCAAACAAGAAAAGAAAGAAAGAAAGAAAAAAAAAAAAACAGAACUAAGUUUUUUUAUUAUUGCAUUACAAUUAGUUGAUACGUCCACAUGUAAAUCUAUUUGAUCAUAGGAAUCAAUCCUAAAAGUUCUUAUGCUUUCAAACAAAACAAUAUAAAUCAGAGAUUUCAAAAAUGGGAUUGAGUCCAGCUUAAAGCGAAAAAACAUCUAUCAUAGCCAAAAAACGUCAUGGAGAAACCAAAAUAAAGUUUCAAAUCCAUCAGUUUUUCCAUAAAAGAAUAUCCGGUCUUAAUUGUUAACCCAAAUUAGAACCUAUAGAAACAAAUAAUUUAAUUAGAUUGAUGAUAUAAAGAAAAAUAUAUAGAUGAACCAAUACAAAAUGAACAUAAUUUAAUAAAAAAUGUACCAACUGGAGCUUUACAAAGCUCUCACUACCAGACUGCUAACAAAAACUAAUAUAUAUAUAUGUAUACAAACCUAAAUUCUAAAAUAGGGAUUUUAAACCCAAAAUUAGAGGUAAUAGAAUAGGAACAAAUAGGAAACCCUCUCUAAUCCUUUAGCCUUUACCUUUACUACUAAUUGAUAGUUAACUUGGAGCAAAAAUAUUAAUGGAACAUAACCUUAUCAACUAAACCCUAAACCCUCCAACCAAAAAAAACAGAGAUGAGAGAGGGGGAAAAAAAAACUUUUAAAUUUGAAGUAUUGAAGUUUAAUUUUUCACUAACCCUAAUAAGUUGGGUUUUCACUAAGUUUCAAAAAGUUAUUUGGAAUAAAUAUACUAGGAGAAGAUAAAGACCAUAAAAAAGGAGAAAAAUCUAGAAGUUAUCUACCUGGUAGUAACUCGAGAGAAAUAGAGGUUGAGAAGAAGCAUAUGGAACCACAAGCUCCCCCAAAGGUUGCUUUAAUCGCUCGAAGACCUAAAUACAACACCUUGCUCCUUAGCCAUGUAUGGUCGCUUAGUUUCCUGCCCAAAUAUAACACACUACCUCUGAUGUUGAUGACUUGCUUCAAAUUGUAGGAUGAGGAAGGAGGGAGUGGUGGGAGAGGGGAGGGAAAAGAUGGCCAAGUUGAGGGAAUGGUGGGAGAGGGGAGGGAAAAGAUGGCCAGGUUCAGAAAAAAAACCUCAGGGGGAAGAGAAGGGGUAGGUGAAAAAAGUAGCGCGUAAUGAAAAAGAAGGCGCCUUUUUCUGUAGCAUCGCGCCUUUGGGCUUUUGCGACGGGCCAAAUCCAAAUUAAGACGACCAAAUAAUUUUUGGUCGGUACUCUGGCUCUUUUGGCCAACUGAAAGUUUAUUUAUAUUUUUUGCACUUUUAGUAACCACUUAAGGAGACUGGUCACCUAAAGUUGGUCACUAAAAAGCCUUUAUAUGUAAUUAGUAGGCUUUCCUACAGUUUGCUCCACGCAAGGGAAUAAAUUAAUUUUACCGCCAAAUUUGAAUGUUCUUCUACAUUCAACCUUUCAUCAUUUCUUGAAGGCGGAUUAUAUCUUGUCUCGAAACCUUCUAUGUAUCAAGAACAAAAAGUCAUGCAUUCAUCUACUAAGUAAGCUUCUGCAAAUAGCCCUCCGGACAAGGCCUGUUACGCUCAUAUGACUUUAAGGUCCCAAGGUACCUAAUAAAAAAAAAAAAGAUAAAAGAUAAUUUGAUUUGAUAAAUAAAUACUAACAUAAAAAAUUUAAAUGACUACUCUAUGUUUGGACAUACCAUUCAAUAGGAUACAUCCAUCGAUACUGAACUGGAUUGGCAAUCUUUGUCUUAGUAACCAAAUGGAUGACUAAAUGCACCAUAAUAGUAAAAAAAAAUUUACCGAUUGUCUCUAGAGUAAGUGGCAAACGGCUGAUUGGUACUCGAGGUCCCAGGUUUGAAUCCUAGUUGAUUCACAUUUCCAGCUAAGUUUAUUGCGCCUUAUUAGGGCACUCGCUACCAUUUAAAAGAGCAUGCCAGUCACAAACCUACUAAUAAACAAGAAUUGUUCAGCUUUCGUCGUUCAUCCUUGCGUUCUAAAGUUGAACGAGCAUUCGGCAUAUUGAAAAACUGUUUCAAGUUUUAACAUCCACUAAAAAAAUGUUGAUUUGUGGUGACACUUAUUUUAGUAACGCUUGACACAAGUGUUGACAAAAAUAUAUUUUAGCAGCGGUUUUAACUAAUUAUUAUAAUAGUUCAAUUCUAUACCGUUGGUUGUAGUAAUAUAAUGAUUGAGGGAUUUUUUGUUUCUUUUUAUUUUUCUUAUUUUUAAUUUUAACUUUUUAAAAUUUCCAAAGGAAUUGGGAAAACUAGAUGGAAAUGUAUUAUUGCUAAAAUGGAGCACAGCUUAUCUCAAAGCCGCAUUGGAUUGGGGCUUCAACGGUAAUAGAGGGUGAAAUUGGGCCCAAAAUUAUAGAUAUUUGGACCCAUAAGGGCCGUUUAUAUGAAUUAAUGUUUUGGAAUAAAUAGUUUACAUUGAUGUAAUUUACAGAAUUGAAAAUUCUAUAUAAAAGAAAGUCUUAAUUUUGUUUUUUUUAAAAAAAGCCUAUUUACAGGAACAUGUAAUAUAUAGAUUCUAGUAUUAGAAUAAAAAAAAAGUUAUAAAACUAGUGUGAAAGAGUUGGUUGUUAAAGAGUGAACUUAUAAGAUUACAACCAAUUUUUUAUUGUAGAGUUACCAUUACUUAAAAUUUUUCAUUCCAAUUAAAACCCAGCCCUAAAGAAAUUUUGAUCUCAACUAAGGGGGCGUUUGGAUUGACGAAUUUGUAGAUUCAACGUAAGUCAAGUGUAGUGGUGUUUGAGUUUCCCUGAAGUGUGAUUAUUUUUCUGUUGUUUGUUUUGACGUAACUCGUACCACUGAAAGUUAAAUUCAAUCACUUCUGCUGUUUGUUUUGAUGUAACUUGGUGCUGGUAAAAUUAGUUUUUUGAGUUCCGUUGUUUGUUUUGAUGUAAGUAAGUGGAUCACAUUAUCUCUUAAAUAUAGUAAUAAAUUUAUCACUAUAAAAAUUAACCUAUUAUAUAAUUAAUUUUUUUAUUAUUAUUUAAAGAUAAUCUUAAUUUAUUAUAAAUAAAAUAAUUCUAACCCAUUAUAAAGAAAGUAGAGUUUAGGUUUUACUGUUUAAUAAAUUAUUUAGAGAAGGUUGAGUGUGGUGGAAGUCGAGUUCGGUACUUUAGAGCCGGAAGUCGAGAGUAGGUGAAGUGGAGCUCUAACAUAACUUGAGUUACAUUACAUUUUUCACUUACACCAAAACAAAUAACGAAAGUGAUGGAACUUGAGUUCCAUCACUCCACUUACACCAAAACAAACAGGCCCUAAAAACCCAGCGCAAAAAGAAUUUUUGGAUCCCAAUAAAACCCAGCCCAAGUGAAAAGGAAAAAGGAAAAUAGAAUACGAUCAAAACCAAAACCCUCCUCCCAUCUCUCGCGCGCCGCGCCCCACCGUCCCCUCCCUCUCUUCACGAUCAAAUUCCUGUCCUCUCCCCCCCGAUACCGAUCCCCCUCAACACUCUCUCCGUCUCCGACACCGAUCUUCGUCUCCGACACCGCACCAACCCGCGGGACAACAGAGUUAGUAGUAAUCACUUGGUAGUAGUAAUGACUAUGUAGAGUUCGAUAUUUAACUUCACAUCAGUGUUUUUGAUGCAAUUUUUUCUUGAUUUUCUCUACUUUUUAUGUUUAUUAGGCUUUUCUUGAUUUUCUCUACUUUUUAUGUUUAUUAGGCUUCUAGUUGCUUGGAUUUGGUAUUACUCUCCUCGACCCCAGCUCAGAGAGAUCUAGGGUUGGGGGUUUCGAUUGCCCAAUGGAGGAGGUCAGCUCUCUUUGUGUUCGCUUUUUUUUUAAUCACUCUGGAGUUUGGAGUGGACGAAUUCGACGAGGUAAUUGGUGAAUCUUCUAUCUCAUCCUAUUGAUCCGUAAACUUCAAUUUAUGUGAAUUGGGUCAUGAACUUAGAGACUUCUUCGCUUGGUCUAUUCAUGCUUAAUUAGUUUGAUACGAUGCAUCCAACUUUCUAAUAAUUGUGUGAACAAAAAUAAAUAAGUUAUUUCUAAUUUCUUCCCAAUUCAGAUUGGAGUACUCAUUGCCUAAUCUGGUCAACAAAUCUUAUCAUUAUAAUUUUCUAUCAUAGAAAUGCAUUAGUUUCCUUCAAAACAACAUUAAACAAGGUUUAAGAAUCACCUAAGGGUAGCACAUUUUAUGUUCUCGCGAUCCCAUUAAACAACAUUUGAAAAUGCAGUUUCCCCUGGGAUUGCAAUUUGACAAUAAAUUUGAAUUAUUCUAUUCCCGUGAGUAGUCCACUGGGCUAUAAGGAUAUGUGGAAGACCUAUAUUCUCUAUUCAGAUGUUUGAAAAACCUCCAUAGCUAAUUUUGUUGGGAUCAUUUGAUAGCUUUCUUUAUGGCAAAUAGCAUAAGAUUUAAGCUGAAGCUUCUAAUUUGAAAGUCAUGCAAAACAUACAUAGAGGAAGAACAACAAGUUGGAGCUCAGAAACUUACAUACUAGUGGCCCACAAGAAAAAAGGUAGGAAAAAUGUGCUGAAAGUAGAAAAUCUAGACAAUAAAUAAACAAGGUUAUUUUUCAGGUUUUGCCCUAAAAAUUAGAACUAUGAAGGAGAUUAACCUACUGUUCUAUUGGUGGUUGUGGGGAAGUAAAGCUUAUUAUCGGUUAAAAAGUUCAUAUGGUGGGAAAUCCGCCCAAAUCAAAUCAGCCGAUUGUGGGAUGUUAUCUAUCACCAUUUAGUGCAUAUUGUGCUAGUAUAUUUUCUUUUUUUGGUGAUAGUGCAGGAACUUUUUGCCUCUUAAGUAUCAAACAUUAAAAUAAGCUUUGUUAUCUCAUAGAAAUUCCAUUUUUAUUUUUAUAUACACGCAUGCAGAUAACCGUUCUUAUUGGUACUUAUUAUUUUUCAACAUUGGGCACUACAACUAUAUAUAAAUUAUUCAUUCAGAUCCGAACUUCUCACAUGUGAAUUAAGUAGUUGCUGCCCAUAUGACACAUUUAAUACUCAUCCAAACAUAUAUUUUCAUAAAAUCUAAAAUGAUUUUAGUAAUAAAAACAAAAGACUUGAUAAGAUUAGAGGAAGACAAAUAGAUUUUGGAUGAAUGGAGUGGUAAUAUGUUUACCUAGUCUAAAACUUGAUAAGAAAAAUUCGAGUAGGUACCCAUUUACUUGAGAAGUUGUACGCGAUCACCUGAUUUGUAAUGGAAUUAGUCCUAAUUAUGAUAAUUGGUUCUUUUAUGGGGAACCCAUAUUUAGAGCCACAUCUAAUCCUACUAAUGAGAGUCGUAGUUUUCUGGUCCAUAAUGUGAAUGAUAGUAUACGUGGCAUGCUACAUGAAGCUUUUCAAAUGCAUAAUAAUCAACUUCAAGAUGACUUUCAAGAUGAUAGUGAUUUUCAAGACUCAUCUGGAAAAGGUUCUGAUUCACAGUAACCUAAAGGUGCUCCAAAUAAAGAUGCAAGCAAAUUUUAUAAGUUACAUAAAGAUGCUAAACAACUUUUGUAUAAUGGUUGUGAGAAGUAUAGCAAAUUGACAGCUAUUGUAGUUUUAUAUUAUGUAAAGUCCCUUCAUGGGUGGAGUAGUAAAUCUUUUAGUAUGCUCCUUGAAGUACUAAAAGAUAUGCUUCCUUCAGAUGCUAAGUUGCCAGAUGAUUGCUAUGUCGCGAAAAAAAUAUAUUAGGGACCUAGGCCUUGGAUACGAAAAGAUUCAUGCAUGUCCUAAUAAUUUUAUUCUAUUCUGGAAAGAGAAUGCAGAUUCUGAAAUUUGUCCAAAAUGUAGUACAUCAAGAUGGAAAACUAAUGACGUUAAUAUUAAUCUAGAUGUGGACGAAAAUUCCAUAAAAAAAAAAAAGCUAGCAAAAGUACUGCGAUGGUUCCCUUUAAAGCAAAGGCUUCAAAGAUUAUUCAUGUCCUCAAAAACUGCUUCUAUGAUACAAUGGAAUGCUGAAGGUCGGGCGAAUGAUGGGUUGAUAAGGCAUCCUGCUAAUUCAAUAGUAUGGAAAAAUUUUGAUAGGCGAUAUGCAGACUUCUCAUUAGAUUCUCGCAAUGUUAGCAACUGAUGGGUUCAAUCCUGUUCAAACUAUGAGCACUAAUUACAGUUGUUGGCCUGUCAUAUUGAUCCCAUACAACUUGCCACCAUGGGUAUGCAUGAAGAGGUCUUUGUUUAUUUUGUCAUUACUCAUUCCAGGCCCGAAUUCACCUUCUAUUAAUAUAGAUGUGUAUUUGCAACUUUUGAUCGAGGAGUUAGUACAAUUGUGGGAACUCGGCCUUGAUACAUACAACGCAUCUGUCGGAGAAAAUUUUUGUAUGCGUGUUGCAUUGUUAUGGACAAUUAAUGACUUUCCUGCAUAUGGUGACUUAUCUAGGUGGAGCACCAAGGGUCCUCUUUCUUGUCCUUCUUGUAAUUACGAUACUCGUUUUCGAUGGUUAAAAUACGGUGGCAAAUACUGCUUUAUGGGUCAUAGGCGAUUCUUACAAAAGAAUCAUAGAUUUCGAAAAACUAGGAUAUCAUUCGAUGGCACUCAAGAAAAUGGAGUUGGCACCUAAAAUAUUAUCCGGAGUAGAAAUUUUGGAGCACACUUAAUAAGUUGAAUGUAACUUUAGUAAGCAUAUUAAUAUAUGUCAAAAGAAAGGAAAAGAAAUGAAAAUAUAGAGUAUCAACCAUAGAAGAAAAGGAGUAUAUUUUUUAUGUCACCUUACUGGGAACACCAUAUGUUGCGUCACAAUCUUGAUGUGAUGCAUAUUGAAAAGAAUAUCUACGAUAAUAUUCUUGGCACAUUAUUGAAUUUUGAUGGCAAAUCAAAGGACAAUCUGAAGGCAUGCCUUGAUUUAAAAUAUAUAGGNCACCUUACUGGGAACACCAUAUGUUGCGUCACAAUCUUGAUGUGAUGCAUAUUGAAAAGAAUAUCUACGAUAAUAUUCUUGGCACAUUAUUGAAUUUUGAUGGCAAAUCAAAGGACAAUCUGAAGGCAUGCCUUGAUUUAAAAUAUAUAGGAUUAUGACUUGCUUCAUCCUCAAAGUGUUGGACUAAAUAAAAUUAUUUUACCACCAAAUUGCUUCACAAUGUCUCUAAAAUAAAAGGAUGAGUUUUUAAAAAUUUUGAAAAAUGUGAAAGUGCUGCAUGGCUAUGCAUCUAACCUAUCAUGUAUUCAGCUUAAGGAACGCAAAAUGAUAGGUUUAAAGAGUCAUGAUUGUCAUAUUUUAAUGCAACAACUUCGUCCGAUAGCAUUGCGUGGUGUUUUAUCGAAGAGAGUAGUUGCACAUCUAAUUGACUUGUGUUGUUUCUUUUGUGAGCUGUGUUCCAAAACUUUGGAUGUACGUGAACUUGAGCAAUCGGAAUCUCGAUUUGUGGAAACUCUAUGCCAUUUGGAAAUAAUCUUUACUCUGUUUUUUACCAUUAUUGUACAUUUGGUCGUCCGUUUAGUUACUGAAGCCAAAAUUGCAGGACCAGUACUAUCAUUGGAUGUAUCCUAUCUUUUAACUCUUCUAGUCUAUGUUAUCUUUUUGACCUGUAGGGCUCUCUUGCGGCUCAAGUUUGAGGUACGUAUAAGGCUCAUCCGGAGGAUUCAAUUGCAGAAAGCUACAUGGUAGAAGAAUGUAUGACGUUUUGGUCAUGGUUAUAAAAAGAUUCAUAUGGAGAAUUUUGUUAGCUGGUUUCAAUCAUAUGACCAAAACCGGUCAACAAAAUUCUCUAUAUGAAUCUUAUUUAUAACCAUAUCACUUGGGCGUGUUCCACGAUUCUACCUCUUUAUUGCAUUUUUAUGAAUACUAGACAAAAAGAAAUAAUGUUAAUAUCAAGCAAUUAAAACUAGUAGGUACAUAAUACUUAUAUGAUAUAGUUAUUGACCUGCAAAAAGGAAUUAUUUCAUUACUAUUGAACAGUACAUAUCGAUGAGCUUGCAGCCAUGACUUUUGAUCAAGAAGAAUAUUUAAGAUUGCUCCCAUUGAAUCAUCAAUAUUCCUAGCGGGCCUAUUGAAUGUUGUCUCGAUAGUUUCCUCAUACAUUCUUCUACCAUAUAGUCUUCUACAAUUGAACUCUCUGGAUGAGCCUUAUUACAUAUCUUAGACUUAAGCCGAAUGAGAGCCCUACAGGUCGAAAAGAUAACAUAGACUAGAAAAGUUAAAAGACAAUUAGGUUAAGUAAAAAGUAACAAGAUGACUAGGUCAAACCUAACCUCUCGAUAGGAUACAUCCAACGAUAGUAUUGACUUCAGUAGCUAAAUGGACGACCAAUGUACCAUAAUGGUGAAAAAUGAAGGAAGAAAGAUUGUUUCCAAAUGACAUAGAGUUUUCAUAAUUCGAGAUUCCAAUUGCUCAAGUUCACGUACAUCCAAAGUUUUGGAACACAACUCACGAAAGAAACAACACAAGUCGAUUAGAGGUGCAACUACUCUCUUCGGUAAAACCCCACGCAAUGCUAUUGGAAGAAGUUGUUGCAUUAAAACAUGACAAUCAUGACUCUUUAAACCCUAUCAUUUUACGUUCCUCAAGUUGAAUACAACAUGAUAGGUUAGAUGCGUAGCCAUCCGGCUCUUUCACAUUUUUCAAAAUUUUUAAAAACUCAUCCUUUUAUUUUAGAGACAUUAUGAAGCAACUUGGUGGUAAAAUAAUUUUAUUUAGUCUAACACUUUGAGGAUGAAGCUCAGGUCGUAAUCCCAUAUCUUUAAAUCAAGGUGUGCCUUCAGAUUGUCCUUUGAUUUGCCAUCAAAAUUCAAUAAUGUGCCAAGAACAUUAUCGCAUAUAUUCUUUUCAAUAUGCAUCACAUCGAGAUUGUGACGCAAUAUUUGGUGUUCCCAAUAAGGUAACAUAAAAAAUAUUCCCCUUUUCUUCCAUGGUUGAUAUUCUAUAUUUUCAUUUCUUUUCCUCUUUCCUUUUGACAUAUUAAUAUGCUUACCAAAGUUACAUUCAACGUAUUGUAUUGAGUGUGCUCCAAAAUUUCUGCUCCGAAUAAUAUUUUAGGUGCCUACUCCUUUUCUUGAGUGUCAUCGAAUGAUAUCCUAUCUUUUCGAAAUCUAUGAUUCUGUUGUAAGAAUCGCCUAUGGCCCAUGAAGCAGUAUUUGCCACCGUAUUUUGACCAUCAAGAGCGAGUAUCGUAAGUACAAGAAGGACAAGAUAGAGGACUCUUGGUGCUCCACCCAGAUAAGUCACCAUAUGUAGGAAAGUCAUUGAUUGUCCAUAACAAUAUAGCACGCAUACAAAAAUUCUAUUCGAUAGAUGCAUCAUAUGUAUCAAGGCCGAGCUCCCACAAUUGUACUAACUCCUCGAUCAAAGGUUGCAAAUACACAUCUAUAUUAAUAGAAGGUGAAUUCGAGCCUUGAAUGAGUAAUGACAAAAUAAACGAAAACCUCUUCAUGCAUAUCCAUGGUGGCAAGUUGGAUGGGAUCAAGAUGACAGGCCAACAACUGUGCUUAGUGCUCAUAGUUCGAAAAGGAUUGAACCCAUCAGUUGCUAAUCCGAGCCUAACAUUGCGAGGAUUUAACGAGAAGUUUGCAUAUCGCCUGUCAAAACUUUUCCAUGCCAAUGAAUCAGUAGGAUGCCUCAUCAACCCAUCAUUCGUUCGACCUUCAGCAUGCCAUUUUAUUAUAGAAGCAGUUUUUGAGGACAUGAAUAACCGUUGAAGCCUUUGCUUUAGAGGGAACCGCCGCAGUACUUUUGCUGGCUUUUUCUUUUUGAUGGACUUUUCUUCCACAUCUAGAUUAACAUUAACAUCAUUAGUUUUCCAUCUUGAUGUACUGCAUUUUGGACAAAUUUUAGUAUUUGCAUUCUCUUUCGAGAAUAAAAUACAAUUAUUAGGACAUGCAUGAAUCUUUUCAUAUCCAAGGCCUAGGUCCCUAAUAUAUUUUUUUACGAUAUAGCAAUCAUCUGGCAAGUUAGCAUCUGAAGGAAGCAUAUCUUUAGUACUUCAAGGAGCAUACUAAAAGAUUUAGAGGCAAUUGCCUAUAUACUCUUGAAAAGUUUCCGGUUUUCUUAUUUACCCCUCUUAGAAGGCUAAUAUUGAAAAUACCCUUCUUAUAUUCCAAGCGUUUCUAAUAUACCCCUGGAGUUAAUUUUCGUUAGUGAGCUGCCGUUAUCUCUAGAAAAUUACUAUUUUGCCCAUUCUAAUAUGCCCUUCUACCGUAACUAACUUUUCUUAUAUAUCCUUCAUAUAGCAAAUACUUUUCUUAUUUGCCCUUCAAAUAUUAAUUAAUUAAUUAAGCACGUCAGGAGCGAGCAGAUGAACGGAUGAGAUCGAUCGCAGCUAAACCAACCUUGGUGGCCGGAGGCAUAGUUAGUUAAUUCGGAUUCGGCAAAAAUUCGGUACGGAUAUAAUUCGGAUAAAAUUCGAUUUUUAAUUUUUAAAUUCGUUGAAAAAUACGGCUAAAAAACGGAUUCGAUAGUUAUUCGGAUACGUGAUUUAUACGGGUAUUAUACGUUCACCAAUUUAAAAUUCGGGAUCAAAUAUAAUUUUUAUAUAUAAUUUUUAAAAAUUCGGUAUUAUACUAUAUAUAUUAUUAUUAUAAUAUUUAUAUAUAGAUUAAAUAUAUUUAAAAUUAUGAUAAACAUAUACUAAUAAUAUAUAAGAGUUAUAUAUUUAAAAAUAUUAAUAAAUAAUUACAAAUUUAUAAAUAAAAUAUUAUAUAAUAAUAUUUCUAUAUAUAAAUAAAAUACUAUAUGAAUAUAUAUUUAUAAAUUAUAUAUAUAUAUAUAUAUACACACACACACACACACACACACUUAUAUAUAUAAUGAGAGGGAGGUCCACGGUGGACCUCCCUCUCAUCCGGUCCACGAGGCCAAAUUGGCCUCGUGGACCGCGCACACCCAAGGGCGAGGGCGUGCCGUUGCCGGGCGUCCGCGAGAGAGAGCGCGCCGCGCUCCGCCGUCCGCAAGGGCGUGGGCGUGGUGCGGUCGGGCGUAGUGGGGGAGGGGUGCUGGUUGCGGGCGACCUAGAGGUCCAUGAUCUUGCGGGCAGCGUCGGUGCUCUCGUGCAUGAGGCGGGCGACCUCGGCCUUGGGCAGGCCCAGGCGGAGCGUGCGGGCGUCGUCGGGGUGGGCGUGGGCGUGGGAGUUGAGGAGGGAGAGGUCGGAGGAGGAGGACGACAACGACGAUUCAACAAAUCCAUAGGCUCUCGGCGUCGACCAAGGCGGCGGAGGAGGAGGAGGACGACGAGAGCGGCGAGAGGGGUGGUGGUCUGGGAGGUGGUGGUGGUGGUCUGGGAGGAGAUGAGGCGAGGUGGAGGCGGAGGAGCCGGCGAGGUGGAGGCGGAGGAGCUGGCGAUCACGUUGGGAGAGAGAGGAUAACUUAAGGAAUUAACAUAAUAAGGUAGGGGUAAAAUAGGUAUUUUAUAUAGGUUUUAACUCUAGUAUACAUUUAACCCAUAUUUAACUCGAGUUAAGUUAAUAGGGGAUAACUGCGGGGGUAUUUUGGAAUAACGGUGGAACAUAUGAGGGGCAUUUUAGAAAGAAAAAAAAAAGUAGGGAUAGAUCGGAUAUUUCUAGACGCAUGAGGGGUAUAUAGGCAAUUAUCCCAAAGAUUUAUUGCUCCACCCAUGAAGAGACCUCAAAUGAUAUAAAACUACAAUAGCUGCCAAUUUGCUAUACUUCUUACAACCAUUGAACAAAGGUUGUUCGGCAUCUUUAAGUAACUUAAAAAUUUACUUGCAUCUUUAUUUGGAGCAUCUUUAGGUUGCUGUGAAUCAGAACCUUCCCCAGAAGAUGAGUCUUGAAAAUCACUAUCAUCUUGAAAGUCAUCUUGAAGUUGAUUAUUAUGCAUUUGAAAAGCUUCAUGUAACAUGCCACAUAUACUAUCAUUCACAUUAUGGACCUAAAAACUACGGCUCUCAUUAGUAGAAUUAGAUGUGCCUCUAGAUAUGGGUUCCCCAUAAAAGAACCAAUUAUCAUAAUUAGGACUAAUUCCAUUGCAAAUCUGGUGAUCGCAUACAACUUCUCGAGUCCAACUAUAGAAAUUUGUGCAUUUCAUACAAGGACAUGAAAUCCUCCUAUCCUCUGACCCAUUUUUAAAAGUAAAAUUCACAAAAUCAUUUGCUCCUUUAUAAUAUUCAUAUGUCCAUCUACUCUUUUUUAUCCAACUUUUAUCCAUUGCAGUACUUAUCAAGUUGUAAAAUCAACCUAUAAAAAAGAAAGCUCAUAAUUAUAAAAGAAAAUGUAGAUCAAGUAAAUAAUUGGUAAAAGUAAAUGGGUACCUACUCAAAUUUUUCUUAUCAAGUUUUAGACUAGGUAUACAUAUUAUACUCCAUUCAUCCAAAUAUCUAUUUUUCUCCCUCUAAUCUUAUCAAGUCUUUUGUUUUUAUUACUAAAAUCAUUUUAGAUUUUAUGAAAAACUAUGUUUGGAUGAGAAUUAUAUCUGUCAUAUGGGCAGCGACUACUUAAUUCACAUGUGAGAAGUUCGGAUAUGAAUGAAUAAUUUAUAUAAUUGUAGUGCCCAAUGUUGAAAAAUAAUAAGUACCAAUAAGAACGGUUAUAUGCGUGCGUGUAUAUAAAAAUAAAAGUAGAAUUUCUAUAAGAUAACAAAGCUUCUUUUAAUGUUUGAUACUUAGAGGCAAAAAGUUCCUGCACUAUCACCAAAAAAAGAAAAGAAAUAUACACUAGCACAAUAUGCACUAAAUGGUGAUAGAUAACAUCCCACAAUCGGUUGAUUUGAUUUGGGUGGAUUUCCCACCAUAUGAACUUUUUAACCGAUAAUAAGCUUUACUUCCCUACAACCACCAAUAUAAUAGUAGACUAAUCUCCUUCAUAGUUCUAAUUUUUAGGGCAAAACCUGAAAAAUAACCUUGUUUAUUUACUGUCUAAAUUUUUCCACUUUCAGCACAUUUUAUCUACUUUUUUCUUGUGGGCAACUAGUAUGUAAGUUUCUGAGGUGCAACUUGUUGUUCUUCCUCUAUGUAUGUUUUGCAUGACUUUCAAAUUAGAAGCUUCAGCUUAAAUCUUAUGCUAUUUGCCAUAAAGAAAGCUAUCAAAUGAUCACAAUAAAAUAAGCUAUGGAGGUUUUUCAAACAUCUGAAUAGAGAAUAUAGGUCUUCGACAUAUCCUUAUAGCCCCAAACCUAUUACUUGGCAUUGCCUAGAAUAGUGGACUCACUACAAAAAAGUCGAUUUGUGGCGACAGUUAUUUUAGUAACAUUUAACACAAGUGCUGCCAAAAAUAUAUUUUAGCAGCCGUUUUAAAUAAUUAUUAUAACAUUUCUAAACCGUCGGUAUAUAGUAGUAUAAUAACUGAAGGAUUUUUAUUUUAACUUUUUUUUAAUUUCCAAAGUGAUUUAGAAAGGCAGCUAGAAAUGUGUUAAUGCUAAUUGGGCCUAGCUUAUCUUGGGCUGCACUGAAUUUGGCUUCAACAUUAUUAGUGGGUUACAUUGUCCCCAAAAAAUUAUCGGAUUUACAUAUUUGAACUCCAUAAGAAUUGUUUAUAUUAAUUAAUGUUUUGGAGUCAAAAAAAUUAAACCAAUGUAAUUCAUAGAAUCUAAAAUUCUAUAUAUAAAGAAGUCUUAUGUAGUACACUGAACUGGCGCAAAUUGCGAAGUUCAAGUGUGGAAACGAUAAUUGGAACUACCUGACACCUUCUAAAGGGUUUAGAGAUGGUUGUGGACAAGUUUGGGAGUGAUUAGGCCACUGGAAGCGAGAAAGUGCAUUGCUACUACUAUUUCUGCAUCUUCUGCAUUGUUGUACCGGUACAACAUUGAGUCUGUACCGGUACAACAAGCAUCAGCAGCAGCAGCUGCGUGGCAGUGAGGAGAUUUUGGUAAUUUCACCUUUUAAGCUUAUCUUUAACCCUGAAUUUGACCCUUGCAGCUGUCUUGGAGGUGCUGGAGCCUGGAGAGGCAGGUUGGAAGGCUUCUCUUCUUCUCUCUCUAGGGUUUUUCUCUCUCUACAUUGGAAUCAAGGGUUUUGGUCUACUUUCUUCUCCUUCUUUGAUGCUGAUUGUUUUGGGAAGCCAGGGAGCUGUUGUAGAAGGGUGAAGAAGGUAUUUUGGGAAGGAUUUCGCAACUCCAUCACAGCAGGUAGCUGAGUGGAGACUUGCUAAGGUAACUAACUAACUAUUUGUUAGCUUAAUGCUUUAGUAGUAGAGUUGAAUAUGAUUUCGGGUUUCUUGUGCCCAGCUGGUGUGAGGGGAGUUCUAGUAGCCCUAGAAGCAGGAUUUGAUGUGGUUUUUGUAACCUGAAUCCAGAGGGAGAAUGAGAUUGGAACUUGGAAUGAGGUAAGUAGUGAAUUGAUUACCUUAUGUGAGGUUACAAUAAGCUUGUUAAUGAAGAAUGAAGUUGUUUUUGGGUACAUGUUGCUGCAGCUUGGAGGCUCCUGUUGUGCUGAAUAGCUUGACAUUGUGAACUAGGUUGAGGGGAUUUCAACUAGAAGGAAGCAGAGUUACAAGUAAGAAAUCUAUAUAAAUGAGAUUUGAGCCUCGAUUUUGUGGUUACCCAAGUGUACUAAUGCAGUUUUGGGUUUGGUUCACAGCAGGAAGUGCGCACCUUAUAAUUGAGAGUUAGGACUCUUUUGAGCUGGAUUAAGCUGAUUGUGGAGUACUUCAAUUCAGAUUGAAGUAAAGUUUUGGCGUAAGUCUCAACCUAGGUGAGACUUUAGUCUAUAUUAUGUGAAUAUGUGAGAUAUUGUUCUAAGUAUAUAAUUUCAGUCUCUAGCUGAUUUUCGAUUGGUUAAUUAGGGACUUGGAGACUUCAAUUUCCUGCAGCUGUGAGUUUGACAAGGGUCAUCUAUUAGUAGGUGGGUUUGGCCUUACCAGAGUAAGUGAAUCUCCUCUAUGUUCUAUAUGAUAUUAUAGAAUUAUUGGUAUGUGCAACUAUGUGAACAAGUACUAGAUACAGAAUAUUGGAUGCCAUAAAUACGCUAGUUUUAUUGAAUGGAAGGAAACCUCUAUAAAGUAGAGAUAAUUAUGAAUAAUUGUCUUAGCGUUCAGUUUAAUUGUAUAGAUAAGGGAUAGUCCUACUAUGCUUCUAAAAAGUAGAGAACAAGGACAUGCACUUGUGACAUGAAUAAUAAUGCAUUUAUGCUGUUAAGUUCCAAUGGCAUAUGUAAUUAGCAUCUCUUUUAUGGGUUAUUAAUCUAGUGGAUACUAGCAUUUUUUCAUCACAUUCAAAUUCCGACCCAUUGGUCGAGAGUGAGAACUUUACAUGUUAAAACAUGACGACUGAGAACUGUUGGACUAUGGAUCGUGCUUGCUUGCCAUUGUGCUCAUUCGCACAUGCUUGUGAGGGUCGCUCCCCACAAGCCGGCACUCUGGAGUUGGCCUACACGACAGAUUGCUCGUCCGUGCGGGAUUGGGUGCCGAAGUGGAUUGCCGUGGGGAGUGUAUACUAUUAUAGGGCCAUUAGGCGCGGCGCAAGCUAGACUACCUUGGGUAGGUCCUUAUGAAUUAAACUAAGUUACUAAAUGGUAGUAUUAAAGGAUCAGCACUACUUAGGGUACAGUUGCAUAUCUACAUGACAUGGUUAUGUUCCUAAUAUCGCUUUACUUGCUUCUAAUUGGUUGAUAUAGCUGACAGUAUGAUAUAUGUUCAUCAUUAAUUACAUUGAUAUACCUAUCAUGCAAUCAAUGUUUUUACAUUUCUAAUAGUACAUCAUGAGUCUAGUGGUGUAAUUCGCCGAGGCUGGCGGUUUACCCACUGAAAAUUAUUGUUUAAUAGUUCUCACGCCCUCUGUGUUGUUAUUUUUACAGAGCCUUCCACGACGGGAGAGGCUAGGGAUCGCGGCAAGGGAGUCGCGUCUAGCUAGGCAUAGCGUGGAGUCCUGCUAGGUGAUCACCUCGCUAUUUUGAUAUGCUGACGAGGAUGAAGUGUACCUUGUGUAGAGAGACUACCACUUAUGUUUUAUAUAGUUGUUGGGUGACCCUGUAGAGUACAUGAUUGUUUGGAGUGAUGUAAUUAUGGUUUUGGAUUUCUAUCUCGUGUAGAGAUUUGCAGGGUUUAUACUUUUCUCCUGAUAGUAGUAUUCUUGGUUUAUAUUUUGCUUUGAUAUCAUGUUAGAAUCUCUUGUUACUUUCCUAAUAAGAUUUUAUAGACGUCUUAUAUACUGCAGAUAUAUGACGGGUCUGUGCAUAAACCGGAUAUGCUUCUGCUGGUAUCCGGGCGUGACAUCUUACUUACCGACCGUCCAUAGAGCAAGUGGCAAAAGGUUUGGUGGUUGGUACCCGAGGUUCCAAAUUUGAAUCCUAGUUGAUUCAUAUUUUCAGCUAAGUUUAUUUUUAAACGAAAUAAGCGAAACUGGUAGCGUGCUACCUAUCUCUCUCUCAAAAAAAAAAAAGUUUUUCUUUUUAGAGAUUAAAAAAAAAAAAAUGUUACUUACACGAAUCUCUAAUAUAUAGAUUUUAGUAUGAAAAUAAAAAAAUUAUAAAACUAAUUUAAAGCGUUGAUCGUUAAAAGGUGAACUUAUAAGAUUGUAGUCAAUUUUUGAUUGGAGAGUUAGCAUUACUUCUUUUAAAAAAAUAAUCCACCCUCUUUGCGAUGAAACCCCCACCCCUCCUCGAUACCGAUCUCCCUCAACACUCUCUCCCUCUCCAACACCGAUCUCCCUCUUCGACACUGCACUAGUAAAUCGCUCGGUACUUGUAAUGGCUUGUAGAGUUCGAUGUUUAGCUUCAUAUCAGUGUUUUUUUUACUUGAUUUUCUCUGUUUUUUAUUUUUAUUAGGCUUCUAGUGACUCUGAUUUGGUAUUAUUUGCUCAGAUUUGGUAUUACUCGCCUCAACCCCAACUCAGAGAGAGAGGUCGGUUAUGUCUUGCUUGGAUUGGGGGUUUUGAUUGCCCAGUGGUGGAGGUGACCUCUCUUUGUGUGACCUGAGGCUAUCGGAUUCGCUUUUUUUAGCACUCGAUCGGGAGCUCGGAUUAAUCUGAAACUGGAAUUUGAGGUGAAAGACCUAGAGAUCUUACUUGAACUGUAGAAACAUGCAAUUUUGAAUUUGGUACCUGAACUGGAAAAUGCGGAAUUUAUUAUCUGAAUUUGGAAUUUUAAAUAUUUUGAUUCUACUAACUUACUUUUCAGAAUUUAAUGGAAUUGUAGAAUAUUUUGUUUGAUUAGGGAAUAUUUGACUAAUAAUGUUAUAAAUACAGUAAAGUUAGUUAGUAGAAUCAAAAAUUUUAUAGGCCUUGUCACUGUUUCGAUAAAUAGUGUACGAUAAGGUAGUAACAUAGUCCUCCUUUCACUAUGAAAAAACAUUAAGGAUACUGCCGCUUCUUGCUUAUGCAGUACACGAAGUGAUUGGGUGUAAUUCUUGGUCUAAGUAUUUUAUUAGUGGUGGUGAACUUCUUUUCUAUGGCAGAAAUUAUGCAUGCAAUUGAACAUUUGACCUGAUUUUGAUGUGAAAUGAGAGAAAUUUUACUCUUUUGACUUCGUCACUGUAGCAAAAGAUAGAAGUUGGAAAAGAGUUGUUCUUUCUUUCACCAGACAAAAAGACAUAGAUGUAUAGUUUUUAAAUGUUUGCCAAUGCAUUUAAUUGCAUAGAACUCGUGAUAAAACAAAAAAGGGAAAAAACUGUUGCAUAGCAAAACGAGGCCUACAAUCUUUUGAAUAAAGUUCAUCCUUAGCUGCAAAUAAGAUGCAUAUAUCAUAAUCAUGUCUAUGAUCACUGUCCCAAAUUUCCAUCAUUUAUUCAGUAUGGAGUAGUUUCCUGCUGCUCUUCAUUGUCUGGUUCUUUUGCUAAUUCAUUUUGUUAAAGAGCAAAGAACAUGCAUGUAAAAUUGUAGAUCUUACACGAAUAAAUAUGUAAAAAAGUUUUGCAAUGUUUUAUAUGUAAAUGCGUCUUUUUUCAUCAGCAUAUUUUGACGGCGUCGCUUGGAAUAAUGUAGUAUUGCGUAGACUCGUGUAAUCUUGUUUUUAAUCAGGAAAAUGAAGUCCAGGUUGAUGAAAUUAAUCACAUAUUGAAACUUUGUUUCUUUUUUUGUCCUUUUUUAUUCAGAAAUGCCAUGGCCUGCAAUGCCAGCACCCAGACUUUGGAAUCUCAGGUAUGUUAAGUGAUGAUAUCCUCAUCAUUUUGACCAUUAUUUAAUUUGAUCAAUUUCAAAUAAUAGAUUGGACAAGUGGGUGAGAAGAAUUGACUUUUUAUGAGCACUAUUUAGGUUAAUCUGUGAAACAGUUCUUAUUUGGUCAAGAAGGCGGAUGGGGGAUAAAUUGGUAGAAAGCGUUAAUGAAUCCAUUAAUCAGCUAAGCAGGAACUCGCCAUAACAUGGUUGAUUAUUGAGUUAGAAUUAGGCAUGUUUGUUGUAUUUUUGCAAAUAAAGUUUUCGUUGACAAAUUCUUUCCAUUCAUUUACUCUCCCAUCCUAACUUUCCUUACGCAGAUUGGCAAGUUUGAAGAAAAAUCAGAGAGAAGCACCUUUCAUAAGCAGUAUGUAGUAUUAACGAAUGAAAAAGUAGUUAGAGCUAGCGAAUUUGAAAGCAAUGGAGGUUUGCGACUAAAACUAAGACUUGUAGGCCUUAUUUGGACAUCAGAAUAUGUUAUCCAAUGAUUACUUAUUCAGUUUGAAGAUUUUGUCAUCCACGAUUUGGUAGGAAGUAAUAUUUCACCUACCAGCUAUGAGAUGAUUUGCCUUAUUCCGUAAAAAAUGAAUUAAGAAGAUACCAAAGUAGGGUCGGACUAACUAACCCCUUUGAGCACAGUUAGAUAUCCGCAGUUUUAUAAGAAAGGUUCGAUACCUAGCUAUGUCAAAUUGGUUUACAGUAAAGCAAUAAGACUUGUUCUUUACUGAAUUAGUGGUGUGAAUUAGUGGUCAUGUACCAAAUUUUACUAACAUUUCACUCUACAGUAUGCAAUAGUUUUCAUAUCUUAAUCGCAAUGCUACGGUGUUUGAUGCGCUGAAUUACUGGUAUUUGGCUGAUAUAUAUAUAUAUAUAUNCAUACCUAGCAGCUAAGCCUUCGAGAUAGUAGCUUUUGCUAAAUAUUCAUGCUCUCGCUAGCAUGAGUAUUAUCAUAUCAUCAGCCUGGGAUAUAUCCGACACCGAUGAUAUGAUAAUACUCAUAACCUCGAGAGCAUGAAGAUUCAACAAAAAAAACUACUUCGAAGGCUAAGAAAAUAGGUGAGGCAAUUUAUACUAGAUCUCAUAAACUAUGAAGAUCUUUAACAGUUUAAAGCACUGAAAAACUUUAGCAUUCCAUUUAAGACAGCUUGCUAAUAUUUUAAACGAAAGAUCUUUAAAAUUGACGACAGGUAUUGUAAAUUCCUACUACCUUAGCAAGCUAAGCCUUCGAGAUAGUAGCUUUUGCUAAAUACUCAUGCUCUCGCUAGCAUGAGUAUUAUCAUAUCAUCAGCCGUUAAAUGUUAUUUAUAGCAUUUAAAACUUCUAGAAAUCAAAUUUUAUAAUUUUUCGACAUCAUUUACCUUACGAUCAAGAGGUCACAAAUUUGACAAUUUUUAAUGGCCGGUAUGGGAUACUUGCUAUUUUAACGGUGUAAAAGAAUCGAAAUUUGUUGAAUUUUGAUACAAAAUUUUAUUCGCUAUCUAGAUAAAGAUCAAUAACUCUGAUCUUGAAUUGAAGGAUUCGAUCAUCCUUUUUUAGGACGUCGUUCGAUUUUGACUGUUUAUUUUAUGCUCGUUUGAUGGACUUUAUUAUGAUUUCGAAAAUUUACGAAAUUUAUUUUCUAGAAGUUUCAAAUACUCUAGAUCAUAUUUAACGGAGUGGAUCGUCGAUUUGGAAGCUUCAUCAUAAAAAACAAUUUAGAAGUACGAGAGCUCCAAUACUCAUAAUAGUAUAGUAGCCACGGCCUAUAUAGGGUCCGACUACUAUACUAUUAUGAGUACGAUCUGCCACAGCCCGCGACCACCCGCCUAUUUGGCUGAGGUCCCGGAGCCGCCGACAUCGCCGAAUGGACAGGGUUUCUCCUGUACUACGGACAGAGUCUCCCCUGUACAUUCAAGGCAUCGCAACCAAUACAAUUCACGAAGGUUCCAACCAGAAACAGAUAUCAAUCAAGAUUGCAAGUGGAAGGUAUCAUACAACAUAAACACAUCCUAAGUUAUUACAUUCAUUCACUUUCAUAGUUUUUAUAUUAUAGUUUCCAUUCUUUUUCAUCCAAAUGCAAUCUAAGUUAUUACAACAUUUACUUACUACAAGUUUGAUACAUUGUAUUCUUUUCAUUUCCUUUACCCCUAAGCUAUAUAGACGGGAUACUGCUAGCUCUGGUCUCUGGGGUAGGGCGCUAUCUGCAGAACUACGCCCUCGCCUUGCGCCGCCGCGCUGCACAUGUGUGUACCUGUACCCUCAAAACAGCAACACGGGGGUGAGACUAUUGUCCAUAGUCCUAAGUGGGUUUAGUCACCCAAGAGAACCAGCUCAACCAACAGGUCUAACGAGGCACUGCAACAUGUUAGUUCAACAAUAUACAACAGAUAUAUAUUCAAUUGAAAUACAUGUCAUGCCUCACGAAAUGCAAGAUGCAAUACCUGUAAUCAUGUAAGUAGGGUACUUUAACGCUACUUAUAUUCUUAAUCAUUCUUUACCCUUGUCAUUUAAUGUUUACUUUUAGCUCUUAGCUAUUCUUUACUUGUAACCUUUCUUUACUUUAUCAGCUAUUCUUAUUCCUUAGCCGAUCUUUAUUCUUUACUUAUUCUUUAUUCUUUACUUAUUCUUUAUUCUUUAUACUUUGUUGCACUUUUCCACUGGCCAUUCUUUCCAAAGGUUUCUCUUACCUUAGUUCUCUAUGCCAUUCGAUUCGGUCUUAAGUCAAUCAAUCGCGGAUAGUCCGCGCACUGUCUAGCUCGAGGUGAAGGAACUCACAUGCACCUCAGCUGGCAACAGCUCACCGUACUCCUGUCCUAGUCGUCUGGCGGCGAACGAAUCGCAC
Molecule: long non-coding RNA, 33418 nt
Filed under: Ananas comosus (pineapple)
Lineage: Eukaryota; Viridiplantae; Streptophyta; Magnoliopsida; Poales; Bromeliaceae
Description: long non-coding RNA (ACOM_LNC018025)
Source: RNAcentral